AGCAGCCUCAGUUUGUCCUGCACCAGCGAUGUAAACACAUCAAGAUGACGCUGGACGACCCCAGUCCUCACUCUUUCUUCAGUAAGAGUGUCCUGCAGCUGGCCAGGACUCUCGCCAAGAUCCAUCCUACCCCCCAUGAGCAGGUAUGCCAGUUGCUGAACGUUUCAGUUUUCUUCUGACAACAUUGCUAACUGAUGUUGCAGCCAACAGUGAAAAUGUGAGAGAGGAAAUUAUUGCCACCCAAGUGGAAGUACUUUCAACAUUAACAAAUAUAAUUACAAGAGCAGUACGUGAUGAUCAACUGCGGUCCAGUAAUGGAAAAAUUUCUCUGUGUCGUGGGACAGUACCUGUGUUGCUGGGUUUGGCUCGGGCCCUUGGCCGCUCCACAUCUGGGGACCCUCUUUUCCUGCAGAUUUUUCCAGAGCCAGUCAUCCCAACUCCAAUUGCUGCUGAGCCUCCACAAAUGGCAAAAAAGAAGAGUUUCAUAAAUUUUCGUCCCAUCAUUCCAAGGUCACUGUCCUCCACGCUAC
This is a non-coding RNA of Cherax quadricarinatus, 530 nucleotides long. The record is from RefSeq and is a predicted model, not a curated record. NCBI's taxonomy places the organism in Eukaryota, Metazoa, Arthropoda, Malacostraca, Decapoda, Parastacidae.